RNAcentral lists this ribosomal RNA (446 nucleotides) under uncultured bacterium. RNAcentral describes it as "bacterial SSU rRNA". It matches the Rfam family "Bacterial small subunit ribosomal RNA", at positions 40 to 477 of the family's 1533-position model. The record is from RNAcentral.
CGGCAGGCUUAAUACAUGCAAGUCGAGGGCAGCAGGACUGUAGCAAUACAGUUGCUGGCGACCGGCAAACGGGUGCGGAACACGUACGCAAUCUACCCAAAACUGGUGAAUAGCCUUCCGAAAGGAAGAUUAAUACACCGUAACCUAAUUGUAUGGCAUCACUAUAUUAGUAUAGCUCCGGCGGUUUUGGAUGAGCGUGCGGCUGAUUAGAUAGUUGGUGUGGGUAACGGCCCACCAAGUCUGCGAUCAGUAACUGGUGUGAGAGCACGACCAGUCACACGGGCACUGAGACACGGGCCCGACUCCUACGGGAGGCAGCAGUAAGGAAUAUUGGUCAAUGGACGCAAGUCUGAACCAGCCAUGCCGCGUGAAGGAUGAAGGUCCUCUGGAUUGUAAACAUCUUUUAUAGGGGACGAAACACUCUUUUUCUAAAGAGACUGACGGUA